Passer domesticus (house sparrow) is the source of this 1225-nucleotide long non-coding RNA. RefSeq lists it as uncharacterized. NCBI's taxonomy places the organism in Eukaryota, Metazoa, Chordata, Aves, Passeriformes, Passeridae. The transcript has 6 exons. The record is from RefSeq and is a predicted model, not a curated record.
UGCAGCUGAACCUGCCGGUGAAGGCCCCACAUCCAGGACUGAGCCUCUGGGAGAUGCUGAGGGUGUGUCUGCAGGGAGGACUUCUCAAGCCCCAGGGCCAGAUGCUUGGCCCCAACCCAGCUCCCAUGGCAGGGGUCCUCCAAAAGGAAAGUCCCAAUUAUUUGCCGCCAAAACGUCUCAUGACUCAGAUGAAUUCUGGAGACAAACACAGAAGGAAGCACCCCGAGGACAAGUGAUGGAACAAAAGGCUGUUCAGGAGGAGGAACACUCAGGGAGAAGCAGUGGCUCAUUGGCAGCCCUAGCUGCAGGAAGGAAGGCAAUGCCAGACACGGGCACAGCCACAGCAGAUGCAGCCGGCACCACAACACCUGUUCCCAAUGCCCAGGAUGGCCUCGGAAGGGGUUUCUAUCAGGAAACAGGCUACUGGCUAGCAAUACUGGCAUUUAUGUUUUGUUUGGAGCUUGUCUUCGUGUUGUGCUUGUUUGGAAUCCGGUAUUUGGAAUCGGGAAGAGAAAACAGAGCACCUCGGGACAGGAGUUUAAAGACGGUGGCUGCACCUCACACCCAGAGAGCCUGAGCAGCUCCUCCAGCAGCAGGAACGGCCCGGACAGCCCUCUCAAGUGUUCUGUGAAGAGGACCCCAGAAGAGCCGUCGACAAGGAAGCGUCUUAUUGCCCCGUAGAUCCCACUGCCACCUGCUCUCCCCAUGGGCCUCCCCAAGCUUCCUUUAUUCCUUUUUUUCUCUCCGUCUGUCCCAUCCCAGCCAACCCGAGUUCCGCUAGGGACCCCAGGACCAGCCCAGCACCUUCCAGCACCUCCUGAGACCAACACAUCCCUUCCUCUGCCCCUGAGCCCCCUGGCCUUGCCCUCUAGGCAACACUGAAGGUUGUGGAGGAUUUUGUGAACAGCUGGCUAGCUAACAAAGGUCACACUGACAUAAUACCGUUAAUUAAGCAAGAAGGAGACGAGGAUAGGAGUCAGCAGUCAGUGUCCAAACCUGGCAAGGGCACUGUGCCCUUGGUGCAACAUCAGGAUGGGGGAGAGGAUCGUUAGUUAGAAACAUGAAGAAAAUAUGUAAACAGCUGCAGCAUAGUAGCCUCAAGAAUGAUAAGGUAGGCGUAGUUAGCUGAUAAGUAACUAACCAAUAAUGAGCUCGCUUUUUGCAAUAUGUAUUAGCCUCAUUAACACCAAUAUAAAUGUAUGUGCCUAUCAAUAAAGUUUUGAGA